Cydia amplana is the source of this 154-nucleotide long non-coding RNA. RefSeq lists it as uncharacterized. The transcript is spliced from 2 exons. Lineage: Eukaryota; Metazoa; Arthropoda; Insecta; Lepidoptera; Tortricidae. The record is from RefSeq and is a predicted model, not a curated record.
AUGAAAUGUCAUUUUAGUCUACAGAAUAAAAAAAUAGACUUUAGGAGCCUGUAUCAAAGAGAAUUUGAAAUAGAGGCGUAUUGUCAAAGUAAAUUUUGUAGCCACAGUAAAUUUACUGCCAUCUUUCGACACAUGAUUAAGACUUUUAGAACGC